UCCCAAAUUGCGUGAGGAAGGAUCUCCUAAAAUGCCACUGCAAUGUGCACGUGUUAUAAGGAUGGUUCGAGAUGGCUAUUUCGGCUUUAAAGACUAUUUUCAAUCUCUAUGUGAUACUGUGGACGGUGGUAAAGACUUCUAUUUGCUUGGUUCUGAUUUU
This is a non-coding RNA of Prunus avium (sweet cherry), 160 nucleotides long. The record is from RefSeq and is a predicted model, not a curated record. NCBI's taxonomy places the organism in Eukaryota, Viridiplantae, Streptophyta, Magnoliopsida, Rosales, Rosaceae.